CAUGGGUUUGGUCAGACGUCCGUGUCUCUGUGAGAUUUGUGGGUUAAGUCUCCACCACGAGCGGCAACACCCUUAUCUUCAGUACCCNCACGGAUUNGGCCUGGGCACUCUAGAGAGACCUGCCAGGGACUAACCUCGGAGGAAGGUGGGGAUGACGUCAAAUCAUCAUGCCCCUUAUGACCUGGGCUACACACGUGCUACAAUGGCGUAGAUACAAAGGGAAGCGAAGACCCGUCGAGGUGGAGCA
Molecule: ribosomal RNA, 247 nt
Filed under: uncultured bacterium
Lineage: Bacteria
Description: partial 16S ribosomal RNA
Rfam family: Bacterial small subunit ribosomal RNA
Source: RNAcentral